UGACUUCCGCGGACCACGUGUGGACUCGUGGCAGAGAGGUAGACCAAAGAAUCUCCAGUGUAAAUCCUCCUCGUGCAGAACCCGUGCGUCUUCCAGCCCUCAGAAGCGAUUUGGUCCAAGUACAGCCAACAUUGCUAAAGUUACCCGCGAUCCCAAGACAAAAGUGGUGACAGUGUGGACAGUGGAGAAGCCUCCCUCACCAAAAGCUGCAGCCUUAAGACCUGGUCCCAGACCAUGGCGAUUCUAAGCCAGUUACCCCAACCCAAAGAGCA
Long non-coding RNA from Liolophura sinensis, 272 nucleotides. RefSeq lists it as uncharacterized. The transcript has 3 exons. Lineage: Eukaryota; Metazoa; Mollusca; Polyplacophora; Chitonida; Chitonidae. The record is from RefSeq and is a predicted model, not a curated record.